RNAcentral lists this long non-coding RNA (1034 nucleotides) under Homo sapiens (human). Its description in RNAcentral is "non-protein coding SNHG11:25". The record is from RNAcentral. Lineage: Eukaryota; Metazoa; Chordata; Mammalia; Primates; Hominidae.
GUAUUUCCGCGGGCGCUGAGCACUAGAGAGAGCGUCUUGUGGCUGCGGCCUGCCCCUCAGCCUCCUCCGCGCGGUUACCCCUGUACCCGCCGCCAUCCGUCCUGGCGCUCCGGAUGAGUCAAUGAGGGGCAGGGCCCGAGGAGUGGUCUUCCCAAGAACCCCUGGUGGCCUCCCAAGGCCGGUGCUGUGUACCUCCUCCCCGACAAAAGGGGAAACUGAGGCCCCGAGGGGAGUGGGAAGAGCCGGCUGGACGUCAGGCCCAGCCGCUGGUGCAGUGGUCCGUCCCCUCUGCCGGGGUGGGCCCCUCGGGUUUCGCGUGUCCUCGGGAAAGAGACUGGCGGGUGAGCCGCGCCCUCGGCCUUCGCUGGGCUAAGCCGACCCCAUGCAGACGUCAAACCCCCCUAGGUCGGCACAGCCUCUCUGCGGGGAGGCUUAGUGCCCCCUUGAGAAACGGCUUGGCAACGCUGUGCCCGGGGCCUUGCACGCGGGCUGAGGGGGCUAGAGACCUCGCGACUUUUACUCCCCCGACCCCGAUCUCCGACUCCUGACUUUGGAAGCCCCCAAAGCUGCUUUUCGGUUGCCUACAAAGUGUCGGUCAUUGUGCCACGUCCUUGGAACCGUGAACUCAUUUUCUCCUCAAUAACCUUUAAAAAGUAGCUGUAAAACCUCCAUUUUACAGACCAGUUGGCUGAGGUUUAAAUGGAGGACGCUCCCAGGGCCCCAGAGGGGCGAAUUCCAGACUCCUUUGCCAGGACCUUGUACUAAGCCCCUUCCCUACGCUUUUCCCUGCCUAGGCCUCGUGGGCUGUGCGGCUAUCCUGGAGACAGAUGACAGCUCUCCCUUGGAUGGCUUUGCUGGUUCCGCACCAGCCAGCGCCCCCAUUUUUCCUGCAGCACCCUGAUCUGCACUCCCUGAGGGGCUCCCACUGUCCGCGGUGUGAGGAUGUCCCUGGAAAUUGGUCUUCUGUGACUUUCUUGAUGGGGGCAGAUGAGAUCUUUGUACUGCAUUAAGUGGAUAGCGCUCAGGUCCUUUGG